CAGCAGCCGCGGGAACACCGAGGGUGCAAGCGUUAAUCGGAAUUACUGGGCGUAAAGCGCGCGUAGGUGGUUUGUUAAGUUGGAUGUGAAAUCCCCGGGCUCAACCUGGGAACUGCAUCCAAAACUGGCAAGCUAGAGUAUGGUAGAGGGUGGUGGAAUUUCCUGUGUAGCGGUGAAAUGCGUAGAUAUAGGAAGGAACACCAGUGGCGAAGGCGACCACCUGGACUGAUACUGACACUGAGGUGCGAAAGCGUGGGGAGCAAACAGGAUUAGAUACCCCAGUAGUCCCUGUCUCUUAUAA
Molecule: ribosomal RNA, 301 nt
Filed under: uncultured bacterium
Lineage: Bacteria
Description: partial 16S ribosomal RNA
Rfam family: Bacterial small subunit ribosomal RNA
Source: RNAcentral